RNAcentral lists this ribosomal RNA (433 nucleotides) under uncultured bacterium. RNAcentral describes it as "partial 16S ribosomal RNA". It matches the Rfam family "Bacterial small subunit ribosomal RNA", at positions 29 to 507 of the family's 1533-position model. The record is from RNAcentral.
AACGAACGCUGGCGGCAGGCCUAACACAUGCAAGUCGAGCGAGCAUUUCGGUGCUAGCGGCGGACGGGUGAGUAACGCGUGGGAACGUGCCCUUUUCUGCGGAAUAGUCCUGGGAAACUGGGGGUAAUACCGCAUACGCCCUUUUGGGGAAAGAUUUAUCGGAGAAGGAUCGGCCCGCGUUGGAUUAGGUAGUUUGUGGGGUAAUGGCCCACCAAGCCGACGAUCCAUAGCUGGUUUGAGAGGAUGAUCAGCCACACUGGGACUGAGACACGGCCCAGACUCCUACGGGAGGCAGCAGUGGGGAAUCUUAGACAAUGGGGGCAACCCUGAUCUAGCCAUGCCGCGUGAGUGAUGAAGGCCUUAGGGUUGUAAAGCUCUUUCAGCUGGGAAGAUAAUGACGGUACCAGCAGAAGAAGCCCCGGCUAACUCCGUG